Molecule: RNA transcript, 4477 nt
Organism: Balaenoptera musculus (blue whale)
Lineage: Eukaryota; Metazoa; Chordata; Mammalia; Artiodactyla; Balaenopteridae
Gene: USP48
Gene name: ubiquitin specific peptidase 48
Exons: 12
Source: RefSeq, a predicted model, not a curated record
UAACGUCUGCGGGUGCGGGGGGUGUCGGGUGUCCGCGGAGGCGCUUUGCGGCCGGUCGUGCGGGUCGGGUGCGGGCGCGCGGGCGGGCGCCCAGGCAGAGGCGCGCACAGGUGAUUGACUGGCCAGCUGGCUGAGGGAGCGCCUGGUCCUCAUCGCUGGCAGGUGGCGGAGCCCAUUUGGGCGGCGGUGGAGGCGGCUGCGGCAGCCUGGGCGGCCGGGCUCAGGAGGCAGUCCUCGGGCCAAGGCCAUGGCCCCGCGGCUGCAGCUGGAAAAGGCGGCCUGGCGCUGGGCGGAGACGGUGCGGCCCGAGGAGGUGUCGCAGGAGCACAUCGAGACCGCCUACCGCAUCUGGCUCGAGCCCUGCAUCCGCGGCGUGUGCAGACGAAACUGCAAAGGAAAUCCGAAUUGCUUGGUUGGGAUUGGUGAGCACAUUUGGUUAGGAGAAAUAGAUGAAAAUAGUUUUCAUAACAUUGACGACCCCAACUGUGAGAGGAGAAAAAAGAACUCAUUUGUGGGCCUCACUAACCUUGGAGCUACUUGUUAUGUCAACACAUUUCUUCAAGUGUGGUUUCUUAACCUGGAGCUUCGGCAGGCGCUCUACUUAUGUCCAAGCACCUGUAGUGACUACAUGAUGGGAGAUGGUAUCCAAGAAGAGAAAGAUUAUGAGCCUCAAACAAUUUGUGAGCAUCUCCAGUACUUAUUUGCCUUGUUGCAAAACAGUAAUAGGCGAUACAUUGAUCCAUCGGGAUUUGUUAAAGCUUUGGGCUUGGACACAGGGCAGCAGCAGGAUGCCCAAGAAUUUUCAAAGCUCUUUAUGUCUCUUUUGGAAGAUACUUUGUCUAAACAAAAGAAUCCCGAUGUGAGGAACAUUGUGCAACAGCAGUUCUGUGGGGAAUAUGCUUAUGUAACUGUGUGCAAUCAGUGUGGCAGAGAAUCUAAGCUUUUAUCAAAGUUUUAUGAACUGGAGUUAAAUAUCCAAGGCCACAAACAGUUAACAGAUUGUAUCUCAGAAUUUUUGAAGGAAGAAAAAUUAGAAGGAGACAAUCGAUACUUUUGUGAAAACUGUCAAAGCAAACAGAAUGCAACAAGGAAGAUCCGACUCCUUAGUCUUCCUUGUACUCUGAACUUACAGCUAAUGCGUUUUGUCUUUGACAGGCAAACCGGACAUAAGAAAAAGCUGAAUACCUACAUUGGCUUCUCAGAAAUUUUGGAUAUGGAGCCUUAUGUGGAGCACAAAGGUGGGUCCUAUGUGUAUGAACUCAGUGCAGUCCUCAUACACAGAGGAGUGAGUGCUUAUUCCGGUCACUACAUUGCCCAUGUGAAAGAUCCACAGUCUGGUGAAUGGUAUAAGUUUAAUGACGAAGACAUAGAAAAGAUGGAGGGGAAGAAAUUACAACUAGGGAUUGAGGAAGAUCUAGCAGAACCUUCUAAAUCCCAGACACGUAAACCCAAGUGUGGCAAAGGAACUCACUGCUCUCGAAAUGCGUACAUGUUGGUUUAUAGACUACAAACUCAAGAAAAACCCAACACAACUAUUCAGGUACCAGCCUUUCUUCAAGAGCUGGUAGAUCGGGAUAAUUCCAAGUUUGAGGAGUGGUGUAUUGAAAUGGCCGAGAUGCGUAAGCAAAGUGUGGAUAAAGGAAAAGCAAAGCAUGAAGAAGUUAAGGAGCUGUACCAAAGGUUACCUGCUGGAGCUGGUCUGUAAGAUAGUCUGGGACAGCACUGUUGCCAUUAAGUGCCUUGUUUCUUUUAUGUUCACAGACGUGUAUGAACAAACUUUCCCCUGCCCUUUCUUAUUUAUAACCCGUUAAUGCCAGCUUGUCCACUAUACAAUUACUAUGUAAACCAACAGUAACUUAAUGUGUAGCAUUCCGUAUAAUUUUCAUUAUCAUGUACUUUUAAAAAUGGGAAGCUCUUAAUAAAUUAUGAGGUUUAGGUCAGCACUCUGCAUAUAUAACUCUUGUAGAUAUUUCUAAUUUGUGAGACAUUAACUUGUUUUUAAAAGAAAAAUCUGAUUGGGCUACUAUGGAAGCAACUCGCCUAAUCUAUUUCCUUGUGUACUUUGUGCCCUAACAGUAUUAAUAGGCAUUCUUUUAUAUGAGUACUAUUUUUAUGAUACUGUUAGAUUAUUUUGAAAUUUAGUAUCAAAUAUUCUAAGAAUAGGAAAGCUUUCUGCUGACCCCUAAUUUCUUAAGAAUUAUCCCACACAGUCCAGCUCAUUCCUUUACUGUGUAUGUUUAUUCAAGUUUAUCUAAUGCCUCAAAAAGGAAACCUCAACUCCUUAAGGCUGUUAUGCCAUUUGUAAUAAUGUUUUCUGUCAUUUCAUAGGCAAUUCCCCAUACCCAACUCCUACUUUAAAAAGAGGCAGUUUUACUAAUUUUAGAAAAUAAAUACUCAAGCAUAAUUGUACUUGUGGUUUUGUCUUUUUGAUAUCUCAAUUUUCCAUUACUGGUAUUACUUUAAGCAAAAGAUGAAUAUAAAUUGCUACAUCUGUAAGAAUAUCUCUCAAAAGUUCUGUCUAAACUAUACCUUAAUUUGAUUCUGACCUUUCUUUGUAACCUGUUACUCUCACUCUGUUUCAAGGGUUGGGAUUAUCCUAAAGAAUUAGACCGACCUCAGUUUGAUUGGAAACAAUUUGGAAAUGAACAUGUAAUUCAAAUCUCUAAAUUUAUUCAAAGGAGUUGGUACCUAGAAAUUUGUUUUCUGAACCUUAUUCAUGGUUUCCUGUAUUCACUGGACAAAAGAAAGCAACUUACUGGGUCUAUAAACUAAAAUGCUGUUUUGAAUUACUCUUUAAAACUGCAUGGUCCAAAGAUGUUAUGUGUCAAGUUUACACUGUGCUCCUCUUGCCUGUUUUCAUUCCGUCUAUAAGAACCAGUGCUUGUGUUCUUCGAAUAUGUAUAUAUGUUAUCAAUACUCUUACCAAUUAUGAGCUUUAUAAUUUUUUCCCAUUUAUAGUAACCUUAUAUGGUAGUAAGUCCAUGUUUUCCUAAAAUAUUGUCAGAUCUCAAAGCUAAUGACCAUGGUUUUGUGCUGCCAAUCAAAGUCUUGUUAUGUGUUUUCUAAAUCUUAACCUUUGUGAACAUAUUAAAAGAAGGGUCAUUUAUCCUAAAAUAUAAACCUCACUGGGGACCUGAACCCUUUUGGCCCUUUUUAUUUAAGUUGAAAUAAAUUAUCUCUAAAUAAUCCUAAAUUAUCUUUAGGUAAGUUUCAAAUAUUUUUCAUAACAUGAUCUUUCUAGACUUUAUAACUUUCCAAAACAAAUUCCUAUUCAAAAUCCAGGCAUUUAAAACUAUAUAUAAAUAACUUUGAACCAUAGUAUACGUUUCCCUUUGGUAAAUAUUUUAACACUUGCUUUCCCGCUUCGUCAGAUGCUGAGAUUUUUAUACAGUUUGUUUGUUAUCCCAACUUAACAGAGUUCUUACUCCUGUUUGUUAGUUGGAUUAUCCAUGCCUUUGGCAUCACAAUAAUGGAGAACAUCUGUGAGAACCUGCCAGGCGUCUCUCUCUAGUGCAGAAACAUCUGUAGUGUAAAAACCUUCCACAAGCAGAAUCUACUUUAAUUAUUGAGACUUGUGCUAGACCCCGAUUGUUAGGGAAGCCCUUGGUAGAAAUUGAUACAGCUCUUUCAAGAUUUUUCUAAUCUUCAUAUCUUACAUCAAUAGCCUUGAGAUUACUAAAAGUUUUAACCUAUGGGACUCUCCUUGGGAAAAGAUUAGAUAUGCUAAGACUUCUAUUUUGCUCUCUGGGAUAGGGAUCAUUCCAUACCAUUAUACAUUGUAAAAUGCCACAACCAUGUUAACCUAUGCUGAAUCUUAAGGUCUCCACAUUUAUAUAUUGUGUGAAUAUAUGAUUAACUUUUCUAUAUCUCUUUUCUUCCAAAAAAGCUCAAAAUGCUUCACAUAUCUUAUCUUUUACAUUCAACAACAUCCCUGUGAGGUAGGUAGAAGGCAGGUAUUAUUACCUUCAUUUUACAAAUAAAAGAUCUGAAGCAUAGAGAGUUCAAGUGACUUGCUCAAGUUCAGUUUCUUGGUGGCAGAACUUGGUCUCAACUUGUAGUCACGAGCUCUUCCUCUGCAGCUGCAUCAGAGCUGACCAAUCAGUUAGGAGUCUCUCAGUUUAUGAUGUACAGUUUUAGCACAAAUAAGGGAUCCAACAGUUCUGGAUUUUGUUUUUGUCAAAAUUGAAAUGUUUUAUGUUAAACUUAAGACGGAAGUUAGUUUUUAGACUUGUAAAUCUCAGGGAAGUGUAAAAUUGGUCAAAAUGGGCUUUGAGUUGAAUUGUCUAUCCCUCAGAUCUCAUCAGAAGUAGUAUCAUAAUACAAAUAUAUAAAUUCAACCUCUGUAUGUUUUCUUCUAUGUUUUAUGCUGGGACUCACUGGAGAUCUUUAGCCCUAUGAAUUUGUCUCUCUGGAGUGGCUGCAGAAGUGGUUGGAUGAAUCGACGCCCACCAAGCCUAUUGAUAAUCACGCUUGCCUG